UGGUGCGAUCAUACCAGCACUAAUGCACCGGAUCCCAUCAGAACUCCGCAGUUAAGCGCGCUUGGGCUAGAGCAGUACUAAGAUGGGUGACCCCCUGGGAAGUCCUCGUGUUGCACCCCU
RNAcentral lists this ribosomal RNA (120 nucleotides) under Plantago lagopus. Lineage: Eukaryota; Viridiplantae; Streptophyta; Magnoliopsida; Lamiales; Plantaginaceae. The record is from RNAcentral.